GGCGUCGGUGAUGCUCUGUUACCUACAUUGUUUGAGGUCUCCUGAGAAAACCAGUGUUAUCUGAGACGCCC
This 71-nucleotide small nucleolar RNA is filed under the name Sarcophilus harrisii (Tasmanian devil). Its description in RNAcentral is "Small nucleolar RNA SNORD34 (ENSSHAG00000029545.1)". It matches the Rfam family "Small nucleolar RNA SNORD34". From Rfam's summary of the family: snoRNA U34 is found in intron 5 of the ribosomal protein L13a gene in humans. U34 is a member of the C/D class of snoRNA which contain C (UGAUGA) and D (CUGA) box motifs, and functions in directing site-specific 2'-O-methylation of 25S rRNAs. Although the selection of the target nucleotide requires the antisense element and the conserved box D or D' of the snoRNA, the methyltransferase activity is thought to reside in one of the protein components. Lineage: Eukaryota; Metazoa; Chordata; Mammalia; Dasyuromorphia; Dasyuridae. The record is from Rfam by way of RNAcentral.